ACUCAAAUGAAUUGACGGGGGCCUGCACAAGCGGUGGAGUAUGUGGCUUAAUUCGAUGCAACGCGAAGAACCUUACCUGGCCUUGACAUGCAUUUGGUAGAACCAUGAAAGUGGGACGACCCCGCAAGGGGAGGAUGCACAGGUGCUGCAUGGCUGUCGUCAGCUCGUGUCGUGAGAUGUUGGGUUAAGUCCCGCAACGAGCGCAACCCUUGUGUCCUGUUGCCACCCCCACGAGAGUGGGGAGCACUCUGGACAGACUGCCUCGCUUAAACGGGGAGGAAGGUGGGGAUGACGUCAAGUCAGUAUGGCCCUUACGGCCAGGGCUGCACACGUACUACAAUGCCUUACACAAAGGGAAGCCAGACCGUCAGGUGGAGCAAAUCCCAGAAAAUAAGGCCCAGUUCAGAUUGUCGUCUGCAACUCGACGGCAUGAAGUUGGAAUCGCUAGUAAUGGCGCAUCAGCUACGGCGCCGUGAAUACGUUCCCAGGCCUUGUACACACCGCCCGU
Molecule: ribosomal RNA, 508 nt
Filed under: uncultured bacterium
Lineage: Bacteria
Description: partial 16S ribosomal RNA
Rfam family: Bacterial small subunit ribosomal RNA
Source: RNAcentral